This is a non-coding RNA of Pelobates cultripes (western spadefoot toad), 780 nucleotides long. The record is from the annotation of a GenBank genome assembly. NCBI's taxonomy places the organism in Eukaryota, Metazoa, Chordata, Amphibia, Anura, Pelobatidae.
UGUGAAAUCACAGUGCAGGCACCAACAUGCAUAUCAUGUACCUUAAGGUGUUACACCUUUAAUGAUCAGUUUAACAGCAAACUUUGGGAGAUUAAUCCCCCAGUCUUUGCCUUCCCAGUUACUUCCUUUCUUACUGAGCAUUCUCUGUGCUGAAGCAGCGUGUGCUUAUAAAAUUGCAGCUUUUCAGUGGAAGACAUGCGCACUCUACCACACCACACCUUCAAUUUCAUGUCUGAGUUACAUCCAGGAAGGUGUUUCUGACCCCAGCUAUAAGUGCAGAUUUCUAUUGACAUAAGCACUUUUACAAAAUGUCGUGAAAAAAUGGCAGGAUUCCUUUUAAUAUUGAAGCAUUAUUGGAUUUCCUAACUAAUUCUCCACUCCAUAUUAAAGCUAUAGUGGUCAUGGUACCAUAGGCACCCUAGCACUGUCCCACGGUAAGAUAUCAAACUGCUUUAGUAUGUUUUUUACAACUUGCAUGCAGGUUUAUACCUUGCAUCUGGUCUUCUUAAUUAAGGAUAAUUAAUAUUGCUCCAUAGAACAAGGUAGUCAAGCAGAACCGCACUCAUUGGCUCAGAGUGUCUGGAGAAGAUUGGAUGCAGAUGAUGCGGGUGCUCAUUGAGAUCUAAAAAGACUUGACAUCUUACCAUAGGGUGGCACUAGGUUACUUUUGGCAUCAUAACAGCAGGCAGAGGUGAUUAUGGUACUGCAGUUUUCAUUUAACUUUUUCUAGCACAUGCCUUGACUGGGUAACAGGGCCGUGGAAGUUCCUGCAAAAACAAG